This 58-nucleotide transfer RNA is filed under the name Campylobacter coli. Its description in RNAcentral is "tRNA-Arg". It matches the Rfam family "tRNA", at positions 8 to 62 of the family's 71-position model. Rfam says of the family: Transfer RNA (tRNA) molecules are approximately 80 nucleotides in length. Their secondary structure includes four short double-helical elements and three loops (D, anti-codon, and T loops). The record is from RNAcentral. Lineage: Bacteria; Pseudomonadati; Campylobacterota; Epsilonproteobacteria; Campylobacterales; Campylobacteraceae.
UAGCUCAGCUGGAUAGAGCAUUUGAUUGCGGUUCAAAAGGUCAGAGGUUCGAAUCCUC